AGCAGCCGCGGUAAUACCAGCACCUCAAGUGGUCAGGAGGAUUAUUGGGCCUAAAGCAUCCGUAGCCUGUUCUAUAAGUUUGCGGUUAAAUCUAUACGCUUAACGUAUAGGCUGCCGUAAAUACUGUAGAACUAGGGAGUGGGAGAGGUAGACGGUACUCGAUAGGAAGGGGUAAAAUCCUUUGAUCUAUUGAUGACCACCUGUGGCGAAGGCGGUCUACCAGAACACGUUCGACGGUGAGGGAUGAAAGCUGGGGGAGCAAACCGGAUUAGAUACCCGGGUAGUCCCAGCUGUAAACGAUGCAGACUCGAUGAUGCAAUGGCAUAGAGCUAUUGCAGUAUCGCAGGGAAGCCGUUAAGUCUGCCGCCUGGGAAGUACGUACGCAAGUAUGAAACUUAAAGGAAUUGGCGGGGGAGCACCACAAGGGGUGAAGCCUGCGGUUCAAUUGGAGUCAACGCCAGAAAUCUUACCCGGAGAGACAGCAGAAUGAAGGUCAAGCUGAAGACUUUACCAGACAAGCUGAGAGGUGGUGCAUGGCCGUCGCCAGCUCGUGCCGUGAGAUGUCCUGUUAAGUCAGGUAACGAGCGAGAUCCCUGCCUCUAGUUGCCACCAUUACUCUCAGGAGUAGUGGGGCGAAUUAGCGGGACCGCCGCAGUUAAUGCGGAGGAAGGAAGGGGCCACGGCAGGUCAGUAUGCCCCGAAACUCUGGGGCCACACGCGGGCUGCAAUGGUAAUGACAAUAGGUUCCGAAUCCGAAAGGAUGAGGUAAUCCCUAAACAUUACCACAGUUAUGACUGAGGGCUGCAACUCGCCCUCACGAAUAUGGAAUCCCUAGUAAUCGCGCGUCAUCAUCGCGCGGUGAAUACGUCCCUGCUCCUUGCACACACCGCCCGU
This 894-nucleotide ribosomal RNA is filed under the name uncultured archaeon. Its description in RNAcentral is "bacterial SSU rRNA". It matches the Rfam family "Archaeal small subunit ribosomal RNA", at positions 460 to 1353 of the family's 1478-position model. The record is from RNAcentral.